Non-coding RNA from Mumia flava, 122 nucleotides. Lineage: Bacteria; Bacillati; Actinomycetota; Actinomycetes; Propionibacteriales; Nocardioidaceae. The record is from Rfam.
UCUUAGGGGUGCUAGGGUUCCGGUUCAUCGAACGUCUGGUCCGAGAGCAGCCCGGUGCGGGUUCGUCCGAUCGCGAGACCGGACGCACACGCGCUACACGGCGGGACAAAAGCCCGGGAGAU